AGCAGAGAGGGUGAUCAGGCGUCACUGUGACUGCUAUGAGGAGGAUAUGUAUGUACAGAAAGACAUCGGAGGGUUCAUACAGUGUUCCCUUAAGCCUGGCCUGGGACCCUAUGCUGAGUGCACAGAGAUCACUGACCUCAGGUCUGGGCUGGAGGAGGUGUUUCCUGAUGUGCGUUCUCUUUGUAUCCUUCACUCCUCCUCCUCCCUGCCUGCAGACUCCUUCUCUCACAUUCCCCUCCUGGAGCACCUCUAUUUGGAUGGCUCACACCUGGCAAAGGUGUGAGCGUGUGUGUGCGCGCACACGUGUAUAGCUGUUAUGCAUUGAUUCAGCCCAUAUUUUUAAUCCUAGAUGUGUGUGUAUCCCCUUUUUUCACAGGUGACCU
This 383-nucleotide long non-coding RNA is filed under the name Oncorhynchus kisutch (coho salmon). Its description in RNAcentral is "lncRNA (ENSOKIG00005044166.1)". Lineage: Eukaryota; Metazoa; Chordata; Actinopteri; Salmoniformes; Salmonidae. The record is from RNAcentral.